RNAcentral lists this ribosomal RNA (492 nucleotides) under uncultured bacterium. RNAcentral describes it as "partial 16S ribosomal RNA". It matches the Rfam family "Bacterial small subunit ribosomal RNA", at positions 29 to 507 of the family's 1533-position model. The record is from RNAcentral.
AGUGAACGCUGGCGGUAGGCCUAACACAUGCCAGUCGAACGGCAGCACAGUAAGAGCUUGCUCUUACGGGUGGCGAGUGGCGGACGGGUGAGGAAUACAUCGGAAUCUACUUUUUCGUGGGGGAUAACGUAGUGAAACUUACGCUAAUACCGCAUACGACCUACGUGUGAAAGCAGGGGAUCUUCGGACCUUGCGCGAUUGAAUGAGCCGAUGUCGGAUUAGCUAGUUGGCGGGGUAAAGGCCCACCAAGGCGACGAUCUGUAGCUGGUCUGAGAGGAUGGUCAGCCACAAUGGAACUGAGACACGGUCCAGAAUCCUACGGGAGGCAGCAGUGGGGAAUAUUGGAGAAUGGGGGCAAGCAUGAUCAAGCCAUACCGCGUGGGUGAAGAAGGCCUUCGGGUUGUAAAGCCCUUUUGUUGGGAAAGAAAAGCAGCAGGUUAAUACCCCGCUGUUCUGACGGUACCCAAAGAAUAAGCACCGGCUAACUUCGUG